AAGGACCUUGCUCUCUCACGAGGCCGAAUCCUCCCCGAGGUGGUUGCCGUCUCCCUGGGACCUACGUUCUGCCCCCUGGGAGGUAGGGAGUUGGAUCUUGUACAACGAUGAAUGCGUGGACAUGUGUAGAUGCCGUCUGCUUCCCAGAGUCCCCAGCCGGGCUCCCCAGGACUCUGCGGGACCCUCUUCAGUGCGCCUGUGCUGUUUGCUUUCAGGUGGCUGCAAGCAAGUCCCUCUUCUCAGCCAGGCAGGAGGGAGCAGAAGAAGGGCCUGUGUGUCUCCUCAGUUUCAAAGGAACUCCCCCGGCCGAGUGUACUCUUGAACUAAAGCUUGAGCGAAUCAGAAACAUCUGGGCUAUUUUUUCUGUGCUUAAAAACAGGAAACGGACCCAUCCAAAGCCGUUUGGGGUCUUCUCAAGGGGUCAUUUAAGAUGAAGAGCAAUUUGAGAUCGCCCGUCUGUUGGAGAACUGCACGUGCUGAGAGGACAGGCCACCUCCUUCCACUCCUGCGGUGGUGCAAGGGGAGGCUUUAGUCCAGGAUAACAAAUUCUGAACCAGCUGCCGCAUCUGGAGCCCCUGAGGGCUUAUGCACUGGUGCCCAGGGAGUUUCCUGGCUUAUCACAUCCGAGGCCGACUUUCGGGCUGCAGAGGGGUGUCUGAGCCACUGAAGUGGAUGGAGGAACUGCUUCUCUGCCGGCCGCUGUGUUGAGGAUGGCUUCGAGGGGCCCAGCAGGGAGCUUCGUCCUGUGCAGCACCUCCAGGGAACCUGCGGCUGGAGCUUGCCUGGAAACGCUGAGGUCAGCUGGAGUUCACCAUCAGAGGAUCUGGGGCUGGACUUUACGUCCUUGUCUGUACCCUGAAGCUGGGCUCCUGUGACCCAGAGCUGCUGGCAGAAGUGGGUCCUGGGACCCUAAGGACUGUGAGCGUUCUAAGGAUCUGGAAGGAUGGACAGCCCCAUGCAGCCGUGCCCUCCCACCUGGCAGGAAGCUUUUGUGCCUGUAGCCCACGCGGUGGGUGUGGCCCUGCUGCCAGAGGGAGUGCCCUGUCUCACUGGCCUGACAGGUCCUGAUGCCGGGUGGCAUCUUGCAGAGCCUGGGGUAGUUCUGGGGAGUGGUGUCUGCAGGAGACGAGCUGCCCACCAUGGCCCAGAGAGGAGAAGGGAACAGCAGAUUACCUCCACGGAAAAAGAGGAGGCAAAGGCAGAGAAAUGGUACGUGGGCUCUGAAGCUCCAGCCAGGUGGGUUGGAAGUUCUCACCUCCUGACCUCCUAGGUUUGUUCCUAGGAGUGGAACCUAAGGAGUUAAUUAGAAUUGUUACA
Chlorocebus sabaeus (green monkey) is the source of this 1317-nucleotide long non-coding RNA. RefSeq lists it as uncharacterized. The record is from RefSeq and is a predicted model, not a curated record. NCBI's taxonomy places the organism in Eukaryota, Metazoa, Chordata, Mammalia, Primates, Cercopithecidae.